Molecule: ribosomal RNA, 1109 nt
Filed under: Laemonema sp. ARV-2009
Lineage: Eukaryota; Metazoa; Chordata; Actinopteri; Gadiformes; Moridae
Description: partial 16S ribosomal RNA
Rfam family: Bacterial large subunit ribosomal RNA
Source: RNAcentral
CAAAAGAGUGGAAAGAGCUUCGAGUAGAGGUGACAAAUCUACCGAGCGCAGUUAUAGCUGGUUGCCUGAGAAAUGAAUAGAAGUUCAGCCCUUUAAGCCUAUUCCCUCAUCCCAUAAAGUAAUUUCUUGAAAAAGAUUAAUAAAGACAAAGGAAGCUAAAGGAGUUAAUCAAAAGGGGUACAGCCCUUUUGAUAGAAGAAACAACUUUAAUAGGUGACCUAAGACCAUAACUACCCAAGGAUUUCAAUUUUAGUGGGCCCAAGAGCAGCCAUCUAAUAUAAAAGCGUUAAAGCUUAAAUUAAUUUUAUCCUCAUAUUCUGAUAUGACCCCUCCCAUCCCCUAUUUACCUACCAGGCUGUCUUACGUCCCCGUAAGAGUAAUAAUGCUAAAAUGAGUAAUAAGAAGAAUUUAAUUCUUCUCCUGGCAUAUGUGUAUGUUGGAACGGACCCCCCACCAACAACUAAACGACCCCAAACCCAGAGGGACAUAAACUUUGUUACAAGAAAAACACUUAUUCUUAAUCGUUAACCCCACACAGGAGUGCCCCAAGGAAAGACUAAAAGAGAGAGAAGGAACUCGGCAAACACAAGCCUCGCCUGUUUACCAAAAACAUCGCCUCUUGCCCUACUAAAUAUAAGAGGUCCCGCCUGCCCAGUGACACACAAGUUUAACGGCCGCGGUAUUUUAACCGUGCGAAGGUAGCGUAAUCACUUGUCUUUUAAAUGAAGACCGGUAUGAAUGGCAUCACGAGGGCUUAACUGUCUCCUCCCUCCAGUCAAUGAAAUUGACCUUCCCGUGCAGAGGCGGGAAUAUUUAUAUAAGACGAGAAGACCCUGUGGAGCUUUAGACUUAAAAUAAGUUAUGUCCAACAUACUAUAAUACAAGAAAAAACUUAAUAACUAAAUAUUGAAAUGUCUUUUGUUGGGGCGACCGAGGGGAAAAACACAACCCCCUUGUAGACUGGGGAUAUUAUCCCUAACACUCAGAGUUCCCACUCCAAGUAACAGAAAUUCUGACUUCCUGAUCCGGAAUAUUCCGAUCAACGAACCGAGUUACCCCAGGGAUAACAGCGCAAUCCCCUUUAAGAGCCCUUAUCGACAAGGGGGUUU